Molecule: long non-coding RNA, 202 nt
Organism: Myotis brandtii (Brandt's bat)
Lineage: Eukaryota; Metazoa; Chordata; Mammalia; Chiroptera; Vespertilionidae
Exons: 3
Source: RefSeq, a predicted model, not a curated record
GUAAGAUGACAAAGUGAAACUUACUAUGAAAAAGAAGGCUGUUUAAAUAGGUCUCUGGAAUGGAGCAGUUGUACAGAUGUUGAUGAGGAUGCAGAUGUAUUCGUGUUUCGACCUAUUUCUGCGAGUCAAGGUGUUAUAGAAGUCAGAAAUGGAAAUCUAAAGGCUCUUCUUUCCCUGACGGCCCCAGGAACCAACAUGUUCA